Fundulus heteroclitus (mummichog) is the source of this 1353-nucleotide long non-coding RNA. RefSeq lists it as uncharacterized. Lineage: Eukaryota; Metazoa; Chordata; Actinopteri; Cyprinodontiformes; Fundulidae. The transcript has 4 exons. The record is from RefSeq and is a predicted model, not a curated record.
UGUGACUCCAUGUCCCAGUAGGCUUUGCACCUGCCUUUCUGUUCUGUGCACAGGCUCCAGCAGUCUUAGCUCCUCCCACGCAGUAUAAAGAGAGUGGAGCUCAAACCAUGCUCUUCUUUAGCCGCUGAUUUCUGAGAGCACAUUCUGACUGGUUUUGAGACACUUACUGGCAAAUCCUCCUCCCCCACCUCACUGGAAGCCAUCAAUGCACGGUCUUGCAGUCUUUGGCUCUAUAAUUACUGCCAACACAACAUGGAUACCAGAUUGAAUGCUCCUGUAAGAAUGCUAACCUCUGAUCAAGAUUUCUUUCUCUGGACCCAAGACAUUCUGACAGUGGGUCUAACUGUGGCAGGAUACAAACAGCCUAAAAGCUUCCCAUACCUCCACCCUCAGCAGACUUCAGCUCCUUGGCCUCCUGGAUUUGAGCAACAAGACUUUGGAGCCUUUGUGACGCAGCCGUUCUCCGCUCCUCCAAAACACUCCUUUGUUCUCUUGAAGAAGUCUACCUACUUGUUGCGGGGCUUCUACUAUCUCCUCAUUCCCCGUGAUCAGCUCCAUUCUCUGCUGAAGUUCUCUCCUACUGCAGAUGAGACCAGAGUAAAACCCACAUGAGGUCCAUGUACCGCUAAUCACACAAUAAAUCAGAUGAGUUCAGACUUUCAGGAUGAAAGCUGAAGACGUCUCCCUCUGCUGCUGUUCCUGCAUCCGUCUUUAAGGCUCCAAGCCCACUUCCCUGCUGGUGGUUCUGCCCGUAAGCUCUGUGUUCCCUCAUCAUGUUCAGGUUCCUCUAGUUGGGCCAACUAACCUCCUUCACUCUGCUGAAGACUAACAAAACUCAGUUUUUACCUGUUUUAUUUUCUAUGAUGAAAUGUGACUCUGCAUGCCGUGCUGGCGUUUAAAUGUUUAACUCUGAGGUUCUGGACUAGUCCAAAAAUAAAACCUAUUUCUAUUUAUGUAAACAUGAAGUAAUAUACUGAGGAAAAAUAAAGGCUUUUUCUGUAAGAACCGGGCUCCUGGUGGUUUGAAGAGCUUCAGUGGGUUCAUGAAGCAGAGCCGUGUGAGGAGACUCUGCAGGUGAUGAUCUGUGGAGCAGAACCAAGAGCCUUCAGACCAACAAACCACCUCCUGAUCAGCCCUCUGCCUCAGCUGGAGCUUGAGCUUCUGGCUCAUUCCUGGAUUUCUUUUUUUUUUUUACCAAAAUCUGUCAUUUUUAUGAGACAAAUGGUGCCCGAGAACCCUUUCUGGUGUGAUGAGCGGUGGCUCAGAGGAGUAUGAAGUGAGCUACAGAGUCACAGGUUGCAGGUUCACCUCCUGGACUAGACCACUUUUACCUCCAUUUUCCCUCUAUUGAAA